UACUUCCUGUGUCUAAGGGUCUGAGCAGCUACUGUCAGGUCAUUACAAUGCCUAACCCAGCUAUGGCAGCCAGGUUUAAAGUUCACAUAUGUGUGACGGCGUGGAAUUCCAGUGUGGACUCGAGUGCGCCAAGCAAGAACCUCGUGGUGGCGAUUCUGGGGUGAACAUGGGACCUGGCAUCGGAAUCGGUAGAUGCGACAUCGGUGAGAAUGUUUGGGACAAGUUCAAGAGCAGAACAAUAUAGGAAGAAACUUUGGUACCAAUAAGAGAAAACCUGGACCAAAAAUGCAAACAUUGGAUAAAGCAAAAAUGAAGCCCUGACAACAUCCUAGCUGCAGUGCUGAAGAUUUGACUUCCACAUCCAGCUGCACUCCUAGCCAAGCUGUUCUUACAGCAUUGGCAUCUAUUAAAUUUUAUGCAAACUUACCCAGGGUGUGUCCUGUCCACAAAAUACAGAACAAAUUUGAUCUGGUUAGCUAAUCUCAGUCUACUUGCAAUCAGCAAAAUGAUGAAGGUGUGUCUUCAAAAGUACUUUAAUGUAGCACUCACUCAACAUUAAUCUGCUCACCAAUGAUCAGUUUGUGUUCCACUCG
Molecule: non-coding RNA, 593 nt
Organism: Chiloscyllium plagiosum (whitespotted bambooshark)
Lineage: Eukaryota; Metazoa; Chordata; Chondrichthyes; Orectolobiformes; Hemiscylliidae
Source: RefSeq, a predicted model, not a curated record